RNAcentral lists this long non-coding RNA (1032 nucleotides) under Parus major (Great Tit). Its description in RNAcentral is "lncRNA (ENSPMJG00000004083.1)". The record is from RNAcentral. Lineage: Eukaryota; Metazoa; Chordata; Aves; Passeriformes; Paridae.
AUGUCCACCAGUGUCACCGUGUCCGGGGGUGUCACCGUGUCCGGGGGUGUCACCGUGUCCAGAGGUGUCACCGUGUCCGGGGGUGUCACCGUGUCCAGGGGUGUCACAGUGUCCAGUGUCACCGUGUCCGGCGGUGUCACCGUGUCCAGAGGUGUCACCGUGUCCGGGGGUGUCACCGUGUCCGGGGGUGUCACCGUGUCCAGAGGUGUCACCGUGUCCAGAGGUGUCACCAUGUCUGGUGUCACCGUGUCCAGAGGUGUCACCGUGUCCGGGGGUGUCACCAUGUCCGGGGGUGUCACCGUGUCCAGUGUCACCGUGUCCAGUGUCACCGUGUCCAGGGGUGUCACCGUGUCCAGAGGUGUCACCGUGUCCAGUGUCACAGUGUCCAGUGUCACCACAUCCGGGGGUGUCACCGUGUCCAGAGGUGUCACCGAGUCUGGCGGUGUCACCGUGUCCUGUGUCACCGAGUCUGGCGGUGUCACCAUGUCCUGUGUCACCGAGUCUGGCGGUGUCACCGUGUCCUGUGUCACCAUGUCUGGCAGUGUCACUGUGUCUGGUGUCACCGUGUCUGGUGUCACCGUGUCUGGUGUCACCGUGUCCGGGGGUGUCACCGAGUCUCCAAGUCAUGAAGGGGCCGGGGGGUGGCUGGGCCCACUCGGGGACACCGGGGACAGUGGGGACACCACUGGGGACACCACUGGAGACACUGCUGGGGACAUUGGGGACACUGGGGACACUGCUGGGGACACUGCUGGGGACACUGGGGACAGUGGGGACACCGCUGGGGACACUGCUGGGGACACUGGGGACACUGGGGAUGGUGCUGUGGCAGUUGGGGACACUCUUGGUGACACUGGGGACAUUGUUGGUGACACUGAGAACACUGUUGGUGACACUGGGGACACUGAGGACACUCUUGGUGACACUGUUGGUGACACUGUUGGGGACACUGUUGGGGACGUUGUUGUUGUUGCCGGUGGCAUCGGCCGCCCCCAGCGAGAGCAGCAGCUGCCGGUGAGAGACUUCCAGAGC